GGACUGGUAGACAAGCGGAAAGUCUCCGAUUGAACAGAUGUAUCAAUCAUGCGUACAUGGUUUAACCAUUACGAGGUCAAGCACACUGGGUAUCGCAGGUUCAAAUCCUGCCCAGUCCA
RNAcentral lists this transfer RNA (119 nucleotides) under Caudoviricetes sp. Its description in RNAcentral is "tRNA-OTHER". It matches the Rfam family "tRNA". Rfam says of the family: Transfer RNA (tRNA) molecules are approximately 80 nucleotides in length. Their secondary structure includes four short double-helical elements and three loops (D, anti-codon, and T loops). The record is from RNAcentral. Lineage: Duplodnaviria; Heunggongvirae; Uroviricota; Caudoviricetes.